Molecule: ribosomal RNA, 253 nt
Filed under: uncultured bacterium
Lineage: Bacteria
Description: partial 16S ribosomal RNA
Rfam family: Bacterial small subunit ribosomal RNA
Source: RNAcentral
UACGUAGGGACCGAGCGUUGUCCGGAAUCAUUGGGCGUAAAGAGCGUGUAGGCGGCCACUUAAGUCCUGCGUGAAAUCUUGCGGCUCAACCGCAAGCGGUCGUGGGAAACUGGGUGGCUAGAGUGCGGGAGAGGAGAGUGGAAUUCCUGGUGUAGCGGUGGAAUGCGCAGAUAUCAGGAAGAACACCCGUGGCGAAGGCGGCUCUCUGGAACGCAACUGACGCUGAGAGACGAAAGCUAGGGGAGCAAAUGGG